GCUGGGCGCGGUGGCGCACACCUGUAAUCCCAGCGGCUCCAGAGGCUGAGGCAGGAGGAUUGUGAGUUCAAAGCCAGCCUCAGCAAAAGCAAGAUGCUAAGCAACUCAGUGAGAUCAUGUCUCUA
Molecule: small RNA, 125 nt
Filed under: Marmota monax (woodchuck)
Lineage: Eukaryota; Metazoa; Chordata; Mammalia; Rodentia; Sciuridae
Source: RNAcentral